GAUCCGACGGUCCAUGUUUGCUGUCGAUUUAUAAGAGGAGGUUUUGCGCGAUCUGACGGUCAAAAACUCAUCCAUCAUCAGAUCCAAUUGUCCAGACGCAUUAUCGAUUUUGAAUAGGACUCUUCUACAUGAUCCGACGGCUCAAAAGUGAUCUAUCACACGAUCAGAUGGCUAUUAUUGAAUCUAACUUUGAUAAAGAUUAAAACAUUGAUUUUUGAUCAAAUCUGGAUGGUCCAAGCUUCAUCCAACGGCCAAAAAAAUUUUUAAAGAUUUUAUACAUUUUCUAAGGGUGUUAGGA
This 298-nucleotide long non-coding RNA is filed under the name Elaeis guineensis (African oil palm). Its description in RNAcentral is "long non-coding RNA (EGUI_LNC079213)". The record is from RNAcentral. Lineage: Eukaryota; Viridiplantae; Streptophyta; Magnoliopsida; Arecales; Arecaceae.